Molecule: ribosomal RNA, 250 nt
Filed under: uncultured soil bacterium
Lineage: Bacteria
Description: partial 16S ribosomal RNA
Rfam family: Bacterial small subunit ribosomal RNA
Source: RNAcentral
AGGAUGAACGCUGGCGGCGUGCCUAACACAUGCAAGUCGAACGGUCUCUUUCGGGAGAUAGUGGCGCACGGGUGAGUAACACGUGGUUGACCUACCCCAAAGUAGGGAUAACGUUCCGAAAGGAAUGCUAAUACCCUAUAAGCUCCCGGCAUUUAGAACACUGGGAGAAAAGUUCCGGCGCUUUGGGAGGGACUGCGAACCAUCAGCUUGUUGGUGAGGUAAAGGCUUACCAAGGCGACGACGGUUAGGG